GCAAUAAUAGCUUAAUUAUAAAGCAUUGGUCUUGUAAGUCAAAGAUGAAAAAAAAUUUCUUAUUGUU
RNAcentral lists this transfer RNA (67 nucleotides) under Tricula hortensis. RNAcentral's name for it is "tRNA-Thr". It matches the Rfam family "tRNA". From Rfam's summary of the family: Transfer RNA (tRNA) molecules are approximately 80 nucleotides in length. Their secondary structure includes four short double-helical elements and three loops (D, anti-codon, and T loops). Lineage: Eukaryota; Metazoa; Mollusca; Gastropoda; Littorinimorpha; Pomatiopsidae. The record is from RNAcentral.